RNAcentral lists this ribosomal RNA (450 nucleotides) under uncultured bacterium. RNAcentral's name for it is "partial 16S ribosomal RNA". It matches the Rfam family "Bacterial small subunit ribosomal RNA", at positions 354 to 796 of the family's 1533-position model. The record is from RNAcentral.
GUGGGGAAUAUUGGACAAUGGGCGAAAGCCUGAUCCAGCCAUGCCGCGUGUGUGAAGAAGGUCUUCGGAUUGUAAAGCACUUUAAGUUGGGAGGAAGGGCAGUAAGUUAAUACCUUGCUGUUUUGACGUUACCAACAGAAUAAGCACCGGCUAACUUCGUGCCAGCAGCCGCGGUAAUACGAAGGGUGCAAGCGUUAAUCGGAAUUACUGGGCGUAAAGCGCGCGUAGGUGGUUCAGCAAGUUGGCGGUGAAAUCCCCGGGCUCAACCUGGGAACUGCCUCCAAAACUACUGAGCUAGAGUACGGUAGAGGGUAGUGGAAUUUCCUGUGUAGCGGUGAAAUGCGUAGAUAUAGGAAGGAACACCAGUGGCGAAGGCGACUACCUGGACUGAUACUGACACUGAGGUGCGAAAGCGUGGGGAGCAAACAGGAUUAGAAACCCCAGUAGUCC